Molecule: transfer RNA, 76 nt
Filed under: Duodenibacillus massiliensis
Lineage: Bacteria; Pseudomonadati; Pseudomonadota; Betaproteobacteria; Burkholderiales; Sutterellaceae
Also listed under: 1 other name
Description: tRNA-Arg
Rfam family: tRNA
About the family: Transfer RNA (tRNA) molecules are approximately 80 nucleotides in length. Their secondary structure includes four short double-helical elements and three loops (D, anti-codon, and T loops). Further hydrogen bonds mediate the characteristic L-shaped molecular structure. tRNAs have two regions of fundamental functional importance: the anti-codon, which is responsible for specific mRNA codon recognition, and the 3' end, to which the tRNAs corresponding amino acid is attached (by aminoacyl-tRNA synthetases). tRNAs cope with the degeneracy of the genetic code in two manners: having more than one tRNA (with a specific anti-codon) for a particular amino acid; and 'wobble' base-pairing, i.e. permitting non-standard base-pairing at the 3rd anti-codon position.
Source: RNAcentral
GCCACCGUAGUUCAACUGGAUAGAACAAGCCCCUCCUAAGGGUUAGAUCCGGAUUCGAGUUCCGGCGGAGGCACCA